Molecule: ribosomal RNA, 513 nt
Filed under: uncultured bacterium
Lineage: Bacteria
Description: partial 16S ribosomal RNA
Rfam family: Bacterial small subunit ribosomal RNA
Source: RNAcentral
GACGAACGCUGGCGGCAUGCCUAAUACAUGCAAGUCGAGCGAACAGAUGAAGUGCUUGCACUUCUGACGUUAGCGGCGAACGGGUGAGUAACACGUAAGGAAUCUACCUAUAAGCGGGGGAUAACAUUCGGAAACGGGUGCUAUUACCGCAUAAUAUCUUCUUCCGCAUGGAAGAAGAUUGAAAGACGGCUCUGCUGUCACUUAUAGAUGACCUUGCGGUGCAUUAGUUAGUUGGUGGGGUAAUGGCCUACUAAGACGAUGAUGCAUAGCUGGACUGAGAGGGUGAUCGGCCACAGUGGUGCUGAGACACGGGUCAAACUCCUACGGGAGGCAGCAGUAGGGAAUCUUCCGCAAUGGGCGAAAGCCUGACGGAGCAAUGCCGCGUGAGUGAAGAAGGCCUUCGGGUCGUAAAACUCUGUUAUAAGAGAAGAACAAAUUGUAGAGUAACUGCUACAGUCUUGACGGUAUCUUAUCAGAAAGCCACGGCUAACUACGUGCCAGCAGCCGCGGUAA